This 253-nucleotide ribosomal RNA is filed under the name uncultured bacterium. RNAcentral describes it as "partial 16S ribosomal RNA". It matches the Rfam family "Bacterial small subunit ribosomal RNA", at positions 524 to 776 of the family's 1533-position model. The record is from RNAcentral.
UACGUAGGUGGCAAGCGUUAUCCGGAAUUAUUGGGCGUAAAGCGUGCGCAGGUGGUUUCUUAAGUCUGAUGUGAAAGCCCACGGCUCAACCGUGGAGGGUCAUUGGAAACUGGGAGACUUGAGUGCAGGAGAGGAAAGUGGAAUUCCAUGUGUAGCGGUGAAAUGCGUAGAGAUAUGGAGGAACACCAGUGGCGAAGGCGACUUUCUGGUCUGUAACUGACACUGAGGCGCGAAAGCGUGGGGAGCAAACAGG